GACGAACGCUGGCGGCGUGCUUAACACAUGCAAGUCGAACGGAAAGGCCCUGCUUUUGUGGGGUGCUCGAGUGGCGAACGGGUGAGUAACACGUGAGUAUCCCGCCCUUGACUUUGGGAUAACUUCAGGAAACUGGGGCUAAUACCGGAUAGGAGCUCCUGCUGCAUGGUGGGGGUUGGAAAGUUUCGGCGGUUGUGGAUAGACUCGCGGCUUAUCAGCUUGUUGGUGGGGUAGUGGCUUACCAAGGCUUCGACGGAUAGCCGGCCUGAGAGGGCGGACGGGCUCAAGAGGACUACGAGAGGGCGCAGUCGGGAACGGGAGGCAACGGUCGAGAGUAUGACACAGUGAGCGGGAGCCUGUUGCAACGACGCCGCGUGCGUAAUGACGGCUUUCGGGUUAUAAACCGCUUUCGCCUGUGACGAAGCGUGAGUGACGGUAAUGAGUAAAGAAGCACCGGCUAACUACGUG
This 468-nucleotide ribosomal RNA is filed under the name uncultured bacterium. Its description in RNAcentral is "partial 16S ribosomal RNA". It matches the Rfam family "Bacterial small subunit ribosomal RNA", at positions 28 to 507 of the family's 1533-position model. The record is from RNAcentral.